GAUGAACGCUAGCGGCAGGCUUAAUACAUGCAAGUCGAGGGGCAUCAAGGUACACGAAAGUGUAUUGUUGGCGACCGGCGGACGGGUGAGUAAUAGGUAGGUAACCUACCUCAUACUGAGGCAUAGCUGGGAGAAAUUCCAGGUAAUUCCUCAUGAGGUUAUAUGACACAUGUGAUAUAAUCAAAGGUAUCGCAAGGUACUGGUAUGAGAUGGGCUUACUGACCAUUAGCUAGUUGGUGAGAUAAGAGCUCACCAAGGCGAAGAUGGUUAGGGGUUUUGAGAGAGAGAUCCCCCACAUUGGAACUGAGAUACGGUCCAGACUCCUACGGGAGGCAGCAAGUAGGGAAUAUUGGGCAAUGGGCGGAAGCCUGACCCAGCCAUGCCGCGUGAAGGAAGACGGCCUUAUGGGUUGUAAACUUCUUUAACUAUGCGACUAACUAGAUUUACGAGAUAAUUCUAUAGAAUGUACAUAGCAAAAAGCACCGACUAA
This 490-nucleotide ribosomal RNA is filed under the name uncultured bacterium. RNAcentral's name for it is "bacterial SSU rRNA". It matches the Rfam family "Bacterial small subunit ribosomal RNA", at positions 28 to 500 of the family's 1533-position model. The record is from RNAcentral.